RNAcentral lists this non-coding RNA (46 nucleotides) under Schistosoma margrebowiei. Lineage: Eukaryota; Metazoa; Platyhelminthes; Trematoda; Strigeidida; Schistosomatidae. The record is from RNAcentral.
ACACUGGUGACGAGUCCAACAACAGAACGAAACAGCUGUCCAGUGC